GUUAGUGGUUCUCAGGAUUGAGUUUGGAGCGUCCACCUCAUCUCUCUCAACCUAACAGGACCUGAAAGUGGGAUGCAUAUUGAAGAGAGAAAGGACCCAGCCACUUUAAAGUGGGUAUCUCUGGAGGUGCUGCUUCUGUUUAGUGUUGAAACUGAAAGAAGUAUUUUGGGGAGGACCAUGACAGGGACCCAGGACAGUUGGUGGGAAAUCAGAUCUUCAGUGUAGAAGAUGGCAAGAUUUUGAAAGUUCAGUGGUGAUUGGACAUUCCCAUCACAUCUGAAGAAGAAAGCCAGUCCCCUCACAGCUAUGCCAGCACCUGUCAGGCUAGUGUGCCAUACAUUUGUCACAGUCAUAUUGGUGUCAUGCACCAUUAGUACAUUACCUUGUAAUGGACUGCUCUCGGAUACAAGUACAUGUAAUUUGGCUCUUUGCCUCAUGUCUCUCCAUUACUUGUUUGAAUUGUUUCCUAACAACUUAUCCUGUAGGUCCGUGU
Molecule: long non-coding RNA, 493 nt
Organism: Mauremys reevesii (Reeves's turtle)
Lineage: Eukaryota; Metazoa; Chordata; Testudines; Geoemydidae
Exons: 3
Source: RefSeq, a predicted model, not a curated record